CCGGCUCCGGUUCACGCCCGCGCGCAACGACGCGGGCGACCCGGCGGCC
This is a regulatory RNA element of Nakamurella multipartita DSM 44233, 49 nucleotides long. It matches the Rfam family "L31-Actinobacteria ribosomal protein leader". The record is from Rfam. Lineage: Bacteria; Bacillati; Actinomycetota; Actinomycetes; Nakamurellales; Nakamurellaceae.